AAUGUCUUCUGGUGGGCGAGUGCACUCUCGAAUGCAGCCGAGACAGGCACCGAGUUAUCCACAUUGGUCGAGUUGAUGAGUCAAUCCAUUGCUGUUUUCGACGAUGAAUACAUGAGAUCCGUCCAAGGUGAACAAGGGUUUGAAGCCAUCGCUGAGCACUUGAACCAGCUGGAGCUGUUGUUUUCCUUUGAAAAACCUGAUAUUUUCGCCUUCACCAACUGGAUCAAUACCGAUUUUCACAAACUAGAUUUCGAAUGGGGGCAACGUUCUUCAUUUGCAUUACUGGGAAAGUAACAUUAUUCAAAAUAAUAAUUAAUUAAAAAUAUAUAGAUAUAAAUUAUUUUGAUAUUUGAAAUAUAGUGAUAAUAAAAAAAAUUCUAAUCAUUAUUAAAGAAUUUGUAAAAAAUAUAAAAAAUUUUGAUAUAUUGUAAAUUUUAAUUUAAAAAUAGUAUUUUUAUCUUUUAUUAUUUUUAUACAACAUUUUAACUAAAAAAUUACAAAAAUAGUAUUUUUAAAUAAAGAUUUAAACUGAAAUUGAUAAGAAUUUAUACAUAACUAUUCAUUUAUUGAAUACAUCUUUUAUAAAUAUGUUUUAUAUAAAAUUUUAUCAUUUCACCCAGUUAAUAAAUAUUUAAUUAUAAAUAUGAUUCAUUUUUAUGAUUUUAUUAUGAUUCAUUUACUAAAUCGAAUUAUGAUGAAUAGUUCAAAAAUUUUAAAAAAAUUCGUUUAAAUUAAACUGAUAACAUCCCUAAAAAUAAUAGACUGAGGCGACAUUAUAUAUAUGUGAUAAUAUAUUUAUCAUUUCAAAUUUUGAAAAUAACAAAAAUUAAUUGAUUUAACAGCUACAACUUCAUCAGGACUAGCAGAAUUAAACCUAUGCUUUUAAUAAGGUGAAAAAGUGCAAAAUUUAACCUAUUCUUUUAAAUAAAUUGAAAAAAAGAAGAAGCAAAAUCCGACCUGCCGGAUUCGAACCAGCGACCUAAGGAUGGCUAUUAGGAUGUCCUACUACAGUCCUCCGCUCUACCAACUUAGCUAAGGACGGUUAAUUGUUAACAAUAUUAUAGAAUUCCUUAAUUAAACUGAUAUGGAAAUUAUUUGGAUAAUUAAUACUUACAUGACGUAUUUAACUUUUUUUUUUAUAAUAUUAGUACUUAAAGUUACUUAUGUCAAUUCUUACAAUUACCACAAGUAAUUUUCUUUUUCAUUAACGGAAAUUAUCACUUGACCGGUUUGACUAUUAACAUCGUUGACAUGGUUGACAAAAGCUACCAAAAUUUGCCACGUGGUAGUAUGCUAACCUAGCAUGCCUAGUCAGCAAAAAAAAAUUAUUUUUUAAAAUUUUGAAUAAUUAUUUUUUGAAAAUAUAGUUUUUUUUUAUAAAAAUUCAAAUGUGCAUAUAGAAUGAAUCUAGAUAAUAAGUUCUCCAGAUUCAAAUGAAUUUGUACAAACGGCUGUACAAAUUCAUUUUAGAGGAGUACAAAAUUAAAAAAAAUCUAAAAAUAAAUAAAAUUAUCAAAUGUUAAAAAACUCAAAAAAAAAUUUAAAAUAUUUUUAAUUUUUUUAAAUCAAUGAAGAUUUUUAACAAUUUGCUACGUAGUUCCAAAUCAACAACAUAAAAUUAAAGUUUUAAUUAAUGUAAUUAAAAUGCAUAUUUUUUAAUUUAAAAAAUUUUGAUUUUUUUAUAUUUGCCACGUGAGCAUGAAAUUUACAUUUUUCAAUUAUAACAUUCAAUUUAGCUAUCAUUACGAUUUAAUCUGAAAUACCAAAACAUCAAAUAACUAUCAAUCUAAUCUAUACAUAGUAUAAUAUUUAUCAAAACUACAUUCAGAACAUCAAUUAAUGAAUUUAAAUCUUUAUAUGAACUUACCUCGACAAAAACAAUUGUAAAAACGAAACUGACAACUAAUCUGACACUUUAGCUUUUCCUCAGUUUAGAUCCGUUUGGUUCGUUUAUUGAUCCAAACAAUAAGUUUCAUUCAAUUAAACCACCGAAAUAACUUAGAAUAAUUAAUUCAACUUAUAACCCUUAUCAAUGAGAAAUUACAACUUUUAAUUAAUCGAUCAAGUUUAGAGUUCAGGGUUUAAGAUUCAAGGUUGGGAUUUGAGGUUUAGGGUUCCGAGUUUUGGGUUUAGAAUUCAAGGUUUGGUUUAAAAAAUUUACCAAAAUUAUAAAUCAAUGACAUAAAAAGAAUUGUUGAAAUAUCAUUAAAUAGUUGAAAAGAAAUACAGGAUGCCAUGACGCCCCUGCUCAUCUACUAAAAAUUUGAAUAUGAAUAUGAAAAAAUAUAUAAUUAUAUAAAUCAAACACAUGCAUUCAACACUUAUAUUAAAAUCCAACUAGAUUUUAAAUAUGGGUGGGUCGGGUCCAAAUUUACUUUUCUUAAAUCGGAUCGAGUUUGAAUAAAAAAGUAAGUCCAUUUUCUGGACUGAAUUAAUCCCGAACUUAAAAAAUUGACUUAAAUAAGUUGCAUGAAUUCGACCCAAAUCUAACCCAACCCAAUUCAUAAAUAUCACUUAUUGCAAUUAAGCUAACGAAAAUUAUUAAGUUAAAUAACUUCUUAAAAUAGGUGAGUAGACAAUUUAAGCUAAUAAUAAUUCAAAGAAAAAGGUGCAAAGUGUAGGCCAUGAGCAUUAAAAUUUUCCUUCUUCUUGGAGUAAGCACAAUUACUAAAGAGUGAAUUCAAUUUAAACAACUAGGACCUAUAAUAAGAGCAUUCAUUUUUCUUUUCUGCCUCUUGCAUUUAUAUGGUAACUCACCCUUACAUAUCAACAUACAAAAUUGUUCUUUCAAAAAAGGACAUUUGUUUAUAUAAGUUAUUUUAGAUAAAACAUCAAUAAAAUAUUCUUCCAACUCAUAUUCGGGGUUAUACAAGCUUAUAAAAGCUCCAAUGGUAACCCGAGACCAUAUGAGAACUAAAAUACAAAGUUCUCAAGUUUUAUCGAGUUGGCGUCGCCACCAUGAAGGUUUCACGUCACGUCAUCCAUGGCAAAAACAUGGCGUCGUGACUUUGGUGCAAUGUUACGACUCUAAAAACAGUGAGUUGACGUUGCGACCUCAAACAGGGGACAUAGUGAUGUUGAAAGCUAGUGUCGCGACCUUGUAGGCAAAAUCCUACAAGCUCAUACCUUUUUAGUUUCAUCUUAUCAUUUAACAAAGUAUAGUUGAUCUUAAGACCUAAGUAACAAACAUCACAAUAUAUAGGUCCAAUUUCACAUCUUAAACCAAUAAGACUUUAACCGUCAUUCCACCAACACGCUUACAAGUGUGGGGUCCAAUUUGCACCCCUUACCCAUACGGGCCGUGUGCAAAAAUCCCGCGUCUCACAAGUAUGGUUCGAUUAAAAACGAUAGAGGAGUAGAUAGAUUGCGAAUGCACGUCUCCAAAAUUCGAUUUUCCAGCUAAUUAUAAACAAAAAACAUACAAAAUCUUAAAUUUCAAUAUAACAACAAAAUAAUUAGAUUAAAUUAGAUUAAAAGUAAUAAAAAAUUCUUACCAUUUGCAAUUGAACGGUCGAACUAAACGAAUAAGAGAAUUUGUCAUUAAUAAUUUCAAUAAAUAAGAAUAAAAAUUGUAAUACAAAAUUAAUUAAAAAAACCUUAAUACAAUUUUAAUAAAAAAUUGAGAAUGAACUGAGAGAAUUGAGUGAGAAUUAAGAGAAGAUUGAGAAUGAAUUGAGAGAGUUGAGAGUGAAUUGAAAAAGUGGGAUAUUUGGGGUUUAAAUAGGGGAAAAGACUUGCCGUUAGGAGGGAGUCGUUGGAAUUCGAUCGUAGCCGUUAGGAAAAACGCGUCUAGCUGAAUAUGUUUUGUUGACUAAGCAGGAAAGCGCAUCCAGUUGGAAGCAUUUUCGUGCCAAAUCUACUCUCUCUCCAAAAUCGGCUUAAUUUGAUAAAUUUUAGAAAAAAAUCGGUCUAAUCCGCUAUUUUUUUCGAAAAAAAAUAGCAUUUUUGGGUAAUUCACCCAAAAUAUGUUACUAUGAACGCUUAUUAUCAAUGUUUAAUACAAUUGUUUACUAUUAUUAACUAUAUUUUUGGCAGAUUUAUUGGAGAUCUUAUAAUGAAUUAGGCUUUAACAAAGGUAAACUAAGUGAAGGGCUUUUAUAGUAGUUUAGCCUAAACUAGAAGAUCGUAUAGUGGAGGCCUUGAACUCCAAUAGUUUAUAUAUUUUUCUCCUUCCUAUAUAUAAAGUUUGUCUAAACAUAUUGGUGAGGGAAAAAAAACAAAGAAAAUGAUGAAGUUUGAGGCUCAGAUUCUUUCAAAAGAAAUCAUCAAACCAUCUUCCCCAGAAAUUCAUCAAAAAGAACCCUUCAAACUCUGUGUAUUUGAUCAGCUAACUCCCACCACUUAUGUUCCAAUCAUAGUAUUUUAAGCCCUGAGUGAUACCAACACCACCAAUAUUUUGACUCAGCUGAAGAAAUCUCUUUCAGAAACCCUAAACAUCUUGUAUCCCUUCUCUGGGAGAAUCUUUAGUAACCUGUUCAUCCAUGAUUUCGACGCGGGUGUUCCGUUUUUAUCGGCUCGAAUCGGUUGUCGAUUAUCCGAGUUUCUCAGGCAUCAUACAAAUUGAGACCUUGAACAACUUGCUCCCGUGCACUCCUUUAUCCAAGGAAUCAAAUCAUCGGGGUCCUCUCUUGGUUUGUCAAGUCACCAUGUUUGCAUGUGGUGGAAUAGCUUUAGGCAUCUGCGCCUCACAUAAAAUCACUGACGCCAACACAACCGUCAUUUUAGGCUUUGUUUGGAGCACAAUCUGCCAAGGAUACCACCCUGAAAUUAGAUUUCCUGCCUUAUCUAAGGCAUCCUUGAUCUUUCCACCUAAAAAUCCAAUGCCCAAGAAUUACAUAUAUCCAUGAUGGAAAACUUAUGGUUCACUGAAGGUAAUUUUAUUACACGGAAAUUUGUGUUUAAUGAGGAAGCAAUAGCCAUCCUAAAGGACAUGACAAAAGGGGAAGUCGUGACCACACCGACACGAACCGUAGCUAUCUCGGCUUUCAUCUGGAAAUGUUCAAUGGCGGCAUCCAGGGCGAUACAAGGAACCUUGAAACCAUCCAUUGUAGUCCAAGUGGUGAAAAUGAGGUCAAAAGGGAAGCUUACGACAUUAGAUGGUUCGAUUGGGAAUGUGUUUUGGUUGGCGAGUGCACUCUCGAAUCCAGCCGAGACAGGCACCGAGCUAUCCACAUUGGUCGAGUUGAUGAGUCAAUCCAUUGCUGCUAUCGACGACGAAUACAUGAGAUCCGUCCAAGGUGAACAAGGGUUUGAAGCCAUCGCUGAGCACUUGAACCAGCUGGAGCUGUUGUUUUCCUUUGAAAAACCUGAUAUUUUCGCCUUCACCAGCUGGAUCAAUACUCAUUUUGACAAACUAGAUUUCGGAUGGGGGCAACCUUGUUCAUGGGCAAUACUGGGAAAAGCAGG
RNAcentral lists this long non-coding RNA (5406 nucleotides) under Gossypium barbadense (sea-island cotton). Its description in RNAcentral is "long non-coding RNA (GBAR_LNC004824)". The record is from RNAcentral. Lineage: Eukaryota; Viridiplantae; Streptophyta; Magnoliopsida; Malvales; Malvaceae.